GAAAGGCCGCAACACGCCAAAGCGGCUGGGUGUAUUACCGAGGCACCCCAAUUAGG
This 56-nucleotide non-coding RNA is filed under the name unclassified sequences. RNAcentral describes it as "S4-Clostridia ribosomal protein leader". It matches the Rfam family "S4-Clostridia ribosomal protein leader". The record is from RNAcentral.